UAGCUGUUUGGUGGAUUUGAAGUCCAUCUCCCGAAAUCAAUGAUGGAAAACAAGUUUCUGGGCUCAGAAACUCUUGUUUCUGUACUGUCAUUCAACGUUUUCCUUUUGGUGAACUCUCCAAAAGGAAAAGAGAUGAGAGGUGAAAGAAAGAGGAUCACCGUAUUGAAUGAAGAAGAAGGUUCGGAGAGAGAGAGAGAGAAGCAGAGACUAAGAGGGAGAAAGCUGUAAAGGGAUUGGGCAAACCAAGAGGCAGGAACGGGGAAGGACCACCCUUGCACCCUUUUUUAAAUGGAUUUCUGUGGGUUUUUCUUCUUUUUCAAAUUUAACAGGGCACACUGUAAAACAGCCGUAAAUCUUGAGGGGGGCCAGAAUUCCAAGCCCCUUUUAAUGGCGGAAGUAAAGAAAAAGAAGAGAUUGGUGAACUCCCCAAAAGGAAAAGAGAUGAGAGGUGAUUGAAAGAAGAUCAAUGUAUACAUACACACUUGUUUUCUGGAUCUGUUCUGAUUAGAAAGUGGCUUCCAACCAACGGAGGGAGGGCCCCAUCCCUUCCUCCUCCCUCCCCCUCUUAUAAAUUUGCUCCCCCACUGCUGUGAUCUCUAGAAAUCCCCAAUCCCCAAUUGAGGAUUUCAAUGGUUUCCAGGCUUUUCUGAAUUCGAGAGGCUUGGUUCAGUAGCAACCCUACCCACAUUUGCCAUUUUGGAGAAUCUAUCUCUCCUUCUGUCUCUUUUAUUGCUUUCUGUACCAAAGUUACUGUAAUUGCCGGCUCCCCAUCUCACAUGCUACUGUCUAGAAGGAGAUUGAAUAAGAGAAUAAAAUUUCGGGCAGAGGAGGUCGAAUUGAAAAGCACAAAACAUAAAAGCGCGUACACUUGGACGCAACAGUUCACAAGGCUGGUCGAACCCCUCAACAAGCACUCCUCAGUCCACUCUCUCUCUCUCUCUUUCUCUCGCUCCCUCCAUUGACGCGAUCGGAGCGACCUGAUGAUCGUGUCUUCUUAAUAGAGGUCCACGGGCCAUCUGGUUGCUCGCGCAAUUAGGAAGGGGGAUCUGAUCUUCGUGCUUUUCGGUGGGCGAUAAGAAAGGCCAGAGAUCUGCGGCCAAUCGGCAGAGUUCACUCCCACUACAGGGAAAGAGUUUGGUGCAGAGCCGGGAGUGGGAGGUGGGCGAUUGGCGGUGGGACGGGGAUCUAUUCGUCGGUAGACCCUUGAGCGGGGUUCUGGCCGGUUGGCAGUUUUUCCCAGUGGCGGUCAGUGAGGGAUCCUCGAAAGGUUCAGACGAGGGAAAGGGCAAGGUGGAGAAGCGGCGGAGGUUCAGGAGGCAGAGGGAGGUGGAUUUCUGGCCUUGAAACUGGGGGAGCAAGUGUAUCGGGUGGGCAAGGCGAACGGGGUGGAUGGCAGGAACUGCAAGAGAUCGAAGGUGCAGGGACGGGGUGUUGGAUAGUGGCCGGUUAGCCCUAUCCGAAGAUCUUAACUCAACACUUUUCACUUGAUAAAAUUUAUCUUUAUCUAUAAAUAUUUUUCUAAAAAAUCUCUCACAAUAACCAAAGGGGCUGGCCUAUAAAAACCCAGCAAUACGUUGUGUUAGAGUUUAAUUUUUAACGGAUUACCCGUGAGGAACCCCUUAAAGGAAACUCCUCAAAUCUGCCAGUUUCAACUUGCUCUUUAACUUCAUCUUCUUCCUCUGUCUCUUUCUCUUUCGGCUCUACUGUCAGCAGCCACGUGAAGAACUAUACUGGAGCAUCUGGUGGCGAAUCAAUUGGAAAGAGUGAGAUGUUGUUUCGCUGCCUUCACUCUAACAGUGGUAUCAAAGCGCAGUAGAUCAACGUUUGGCAUAAGUAAGUUAUAUUCAGAGUCCAUGUACAGAGAGUGUAUGAAUGUAAAUGGUUAAAGCUUGCAAGAUCAUAGACUAAGGACUAUGCUGCGUGUAUAAAUAUGUUUGGCUAAAAAGUUUGUAUAUAUGCUUUUUAUACAUGUUAUUCAAGAAGCAUGUCGAUUGCAGAUUACUAGAUAUAUUUUUUUGUGCCUGUAAUCCUAAAAGAGGGAGGCUAUUUGUUUUUA
Molecule: long non-coding RNA, 2056 nt
Organism: Nymphaea colorata (pocket water lily)
Lineage: Eukaryota; Viridiplantae; Streptophyta; Magnoliopsida; Nymphaeales; Nymphaeaceae
Exons: 2
Source: RefSeq, a predicted model, not a curated record